UCUAAUUUUGUUGGUUUUCGGAAUCUGAGGUAAUGAUCAAUGGGGACAGGCGGGGGCAUUCGUAUUGCGACGUUAGAGGUGAAAUUCUUGGAUCGUCGCAAGACGGACCGAAGCGAAAGCAUUUGCCAAGUAUGUUCUCGUCGAUCAAGAACGAAAGUUAGAGGUUCGAAGGCGAUCAGAUACCGCCCUAGUUCUAACCAUAAACUAUGCCUGCCAGCGAUCCGCCGAAGUUCCUCCGAUGACUCGGCGGGCAGCUUCCGGGAAACCAGAGCUUUUGGGUUCCGGGGGAAGUAUGGUUGCAAAGCUGAAACUUAAAGGAAUUGACGGAAGGGCACCACCAGGAGUGGAGCCUGCGGCUUAAUUUGACUCAACACGGGAAAACUCACCAGGCCCGGACACCGGAAGGAUUGACAGAUUGAGAGCUCUUUCUUGAUUCGGUGGGUGGUGGUGCAUGGCCGUUCUUAGUUGGUGGAGCGAUUUGUCUGGUUAAUUCCGAUAACGAACGAGACUCUAGCCUACUAACUAGGCGUACCCGGUAUCCACAAUCGUGCUACCGGCGAUCAAAUUUCUUCUUAGAGGGACAGGCGGCUUCUAGCCGCACGAGACUGAGCAAUAACAGGUCUGUGAUGCCCUUAGAUGUCCUGGGCCGCACGCGCGCUACACUGAAGGAAUCAGCGUGUCUUCCCUGUCCGAAAGGACCGGGUAAUCCGCUGAACCUCCUUUGUGCUAGGGAUUGGGGCUUGCAAUUGUUCCCCAUGAACGAGGAAUUCCCAGUAAGCGCGAGUCAUAAGCUCGCGUUGAUUCUCCCCCUGGCCCCCU
This 819-nucleotide ribosomal RNA is filed under the name Pochazia shantungensis. Its description in RNAcentral is "SSU rRNA". It matches the Rfam family "Eukaryotic small subunit ribosomal RNA", at positions 834 to 1659 of the family's 1831-position model. The record is from RNAcentral. Lineage: Eukaryota; Metazoa; Arthropoda; Insecta; Hemiptera; Ricaniidae.